Molecule: ribosomal RNA, 109 nt
Filed under: Notechis scutatus (mainland tiger snake)
Lineage: Eukaryota; Metazoa; Chordata; Lepidosauria; Squamata; Elapidae
Source: RNAcentral
CUAGGUGGCAAUAUCUAAUCACCUCUGGCUGAUCUUAACAAGCUAAGUAGGUUUAGACUUCAUUAGUAUUUGAAUGGGAGACCACCAGAAAAUUCCAGGGCUAUAUGCU